UUAUGUCCAGGGCUUCACGCAUGCUACAAUGGCCGGUACAAAGAGUUGCGAGCCUGUGAGGGUGAGCGAAUCUCAAAAAGCCGGUCUCAGUUCGGAUUGGGGUCUGCAACUCGACCCCAUGAAGUCGGAGUCGCUAGUAAUCGCAGAUCAGCAACGCUGCGGUGAAUACGUUCCCGGGGCUUGUACACACCGCCCGUCAAGUCAUGAAAGUCGGUAACACCCGAAGCCGGUGGCCUAACCUUUUUGGAGGGAGCCGUCGAAGGUGGGACCGGUAAUUAGGACUAAGUCGUAACAAGGUAGCCGUACCGGAAGGUGCGGCUGGAUCACCUCCUUU
Molecule: non-coding RNA, 334 nt
Filed under: Tessaracoccus bendigoensis DSM 12906
Lineage: Bacteria; Bacillati; Actinomycetota; Actinomycetes; Propionibacteriales; Propionibacteriaceae
Description: Bacterial small subunit ribosomal RNA
Rfam family: Bacterial small subunit ribosomal RNA
Source: Rfam by way of RNAcentral